CCGAGUGAGGGCCCUCUGGGUCCAACCUCCCACCCGUGUCUAUCGUACCUUGUUGCUUCGGCGGGCCCGCCGUUUCGACGGCCGCCGGGGAGGCCUCGCGCCCCCGGGCCCGCGCCCGCCGAAGACCCCAACAUGAACGCUGUUCUGAAAGUAUGCAGUCUGAGUUGAUUAUCAUAAUCAUGUUAAAACUUUCAACAACGGAUCUCUUGGUUCCGGCAUCGAUGAAGAACGCAGCGAAAUGCGAUAAGUAAUGUGAAUUGCAGAAUUCAGUGAAUCAUCGAGUCUUUGAACGCACAUUGCGCCCCCUGGUAUUCCGGGGGGCAUGCCUGUCCGAGCGUCAUUGCUGCCCUCAAGCACGGCUUGUGUGUUGGGCCCCGUCCCCUCCCCCGGGGACGGGCCCGAAAGGCAGCGGCGGCACCGCGUCCGGUCCUCGAGCGUAUGGGGCUUUGUCACCCGCUCUGUAGGCCCGGCCGGCGCCAGCCGACACCCAACUUUAUUUUCUAAGG
Molecule: unclassified non-coding RNA, 506 nt
Filed under: Aspergillus lentulus
Lineage: Eukaryota; Fungi; Ascomycota; Eurotiomycetes; Eurotiales; Aspergillaceae
Description: partial contains ITS1, 5.8S rRNA and ITS2
Rfam family: 5.8S ribosomal RNA (bases 187-340)
Source: RNAcentral